RNAcentral lists this long non-coding RNA (7031 nucleotides) under Coffea arabica (coffee). RNAcentral describes it as "long non-coding RNA (CARA_LNC001601)". The record is from RNAcentral. Lineage: Eukaryota; Viridiplantae; Streptophyta; Magnoliopsida; Gentianales; Rubiaceae.
AAAGGCUACAACUUUCGUGUUUUACACAUGAGCUGGUUCAGCCUCUAACAUCAAGAAAAGAUCGGUUGAAGUUGGGCCAAAAAUAGAGCAAGUGAUCCACACUCGGAUCCACUAUUCAUCCGAACCCUCGGCUGUUUCUGGGUUAGUGGAUCCGAGCUCGGAUCCAUACGGAUCCGAGGCACUGUAGCAGCUCGGAUCACUGGUCAGAAAAGGUUGCUUUAUACGCGUAAAACUCAAUUUCACCUCCACCAACUCACAUGUGAUGCUAGACAUGUGAGAGACAUUACCAGCUGUAAAAGGGAGUUGAAAACAUCAUUUCUUGACCAACCUUUCAUCAUUAAAUAGCCAAAUUCAUUGCAAGAGAGAGGAUCCAAGAAGUAGAGAGCAAGAGAAGAGGAGAUAGCAGAAAAAUAGAGAGGGAGCUACGGGAGAAGCUUGGAGUCUGUAGAAAUGUAGCUCUUUCAUCUCCCUAGUGUUAGUUUAGCUUAGUAUAGAGUAGUGUAGCUUUUCCAUUCUUGUUUAUUAUCUAGAUUAGGAUGAAGAAGGCAAGGAAGAAAGCUCAUGUGACAAGGAUUAGGAUGAAGAUGGAGGAUGAAGAAGGCAAGGAAGAAAGCUCAUGUGACAAGGGUUGUAUUCCUUCCAAACUCUUUAUCUUUUGUAUUUGAUUCCAAGUUUAGUUAAUAUACAAGUUCUGGAUUUUGUGUUUAAUAUGUGUAUCUAAAGUUUAAGCCUUGGGUUUGGUUGAACUUUCUAUGAUUGUUAGUGUUUAUUAUUUGGUUAUUUGAUUGCUAUGAUUUGAGCAAGUUAUUUAGCACUUUGGCUCUUUAAAUCAUGAUUAAUCUGGUACCAUUAAUUAUGAUUAUCUAAGGUGUUGUUUCUGCAAUGGAAAUUGAGAUUUAACACUAGUUCAAGAAGUGCUAAACAUAGGGAGUACACUCACGAAAGUAGAGGUGCACCUAUGUGGUUUUUAGUGAUUCAUUUCAUGUAAUUUCAUUGAAGAAAUGAACUUGUAGCUAAUUUCAUAACCAUGAAAAUAGGUAUGGAUUAGUUAUGAGUAUAAUUGAUUCACUACGAAAGUAGGAUUCAAAUGCAUAAGGAAAUUACACCAUAAUUAGCCUAGAUGUAGUAUUCAAUGAUCCAAAUGUAGCACUUGCAUGAGUAGUUAGGGAUACCACAACCUAAGGAGCUUUUAUUUGUUAUUUUGUAUAAUUUCAGUAGGUUAAAUUUCUUAUAAUUCAUUGAUAGUCUAAAUAAUAGAGAAGCUUUAGUAGUACCGGUAAUUGCAAUCUUCCUUGUGGGAUCGACCCUUAAUACCCUAUACUCGCUCACGAUUCGUAUACUUGCGAUAAAUCGCGUGUGGGGUGUUUAGGAAUUUAUAAAUGUAAAACUUGAUUAGAAUGAGGUUAAAUUGAUAUGUAUACCCUGCGCACGUCAAGUUUUUGGCGCCGUUGCCGGGGAAGAUUUGGCAAUAUCGGUGUGAAGAGCAACUUUAUUAGUUUAGACAUUUCAUUAGUUAUAGUGUGAAUGUUAUUUUCUGUUAUUUUUGUGUUUUAUGUGUGUAUGUGUUUCAUUACCUAUUUUUCUUACUAAUUUUGCUUUUGAGAUUGUUUAAAAGCAAUUUUAGGUAAUGAGAAGGGUAGGUCAAUUUGGAGGACAAUGCUUGAGAAGUGAAAGAUUGGAAAUGGAUGGUUACCAAGUGCAAAGCUCCUUCAAUAGAGGUAACCAAGAAUUUACUGAAUGUAUGUCUUUUGAAGAUGGUUUAAGGUGCUUAAAGGCUAAAUUUGAUUUUAUGAUGUUGCAAGUUCAAAUGGACGCAAUUAUGCAUGAAAUUGAGCAAGGGAGGAAUGAUAAUGCUUUUAAUUCUUAUCAUGUGAUUUGUGACUUGUGUGGAGGUUAUCAUGCUACUAAUACAUGUAUGCAAGCACAAAAUGUGGAUUAUUAUGAUGAAUUAGAGCAUUACAAUCCUUGUUUUGAUCAAUAUAGUGCUAAUUGGAGCAAUUCUCCUGCUUAUGGUUGGAAUAAUCAAUGUACUUAUAGUGAUAAUUCAUGUUUUUAUGAUUACCAACCUGAAAGUGUCCAAUAUGAAUCAAAACCAUCUUGAGAGUUGGCAAUAGAGAAGUUAGCUAAUACACCUCUACCUUGGGAAUUAGAGAAUGAACCAUUAGCUAAUGAUUCUAAUGCAUCUUGGGAGUUAGCUGUAGAAAAUUAUUCUAAUCAAUUUAAUUCAGCAAUAGAAAAGCUAGCAAAUGCAACUUCCGACCGUUUUGAUAGGAUUGAGGAAAUGUUAGAUGAAUUAGCUUCUCACUUUGGUAAUAUACAUGAGCAAUUGAGUGCAUUGUGUGAAGUUAUUUCCUCUAAUGAUGUGCAAAAUGAUCCUAGCAUGAAUGGUGGGAAUGUUGUAUGUGAAAAUGGGUUGCAUUUUGAUGAAAAUGAUGAAUCUCAAGAGUGUUUUAAUGAGCAAAUAUCCAUUUCACAUGAUAAUAUCUUUGGAACUAACUUUGAACCUCAAGAGGUGAGUUUUAAUGACUCAAUUUUCAUCCCUCUUGAGGAGUGCAUUGAAAGUAUAGGUUCUAAAGGUAUUCCUGCUCAAGAUACUCUCAUGGCAUUCCCUUUGGUAAAUUCUCAAGUGGUGCAUAUUCAAGGUAAUAUCUAUGAAUCACUUGGGAUAGGUAAGUCACUUCCAUUUCUCACAUCAUUAGAUCUUGUGGCUUUUGCUAUAAAGUCACCUUUUAAUGAUCCACCACGGCCUAAAAUGGUGGAUUAUUCGUUAACUAAACCUCCUUGAAAAAUGAGGUGAUAUAGUCAAGCUAAUGACUAUAAAGAAGCGGUUGUUGGGAGGCAACCCAACGAUUUCUUGUUUUUAGUAAGUUUUGGUUGUUUGAUUAAUGUUUUUGUGUGUUUUGUAGGUAGCAAUGACAAGGAAUCAUGCGAAUUAUUUCAAGUGCAAAGGAGUUUAUAAGGAGUGGAGACUAAUGCGAAAAAGGGAAGCUUAACCUUUAUUUUUUUGAGUUUUACAAUGCUUAAUUUUAUGUUAUGAGGUUAAGUUAGUCAUUUGAAUGAACUUGAAGUGCAUUCAAGUGUUUAAAUGUGUUCAUGACCUAUUUUCACUCUUUUGAACCAUUUGAGCACCAUCAUGUGCUUUGGAAGUUUCGAGGGGACUAUUUGAUCCAAGAACUUCAACCCUCAAUUUGGAUUCUACAUGUUUUUGAUUUGAUUUGAGGUGUUGAGAUUCAUGUUUAAGUCACUUUCCAUGUGUGUAAAGUGUUGAAUUGUUCAAAAUUUCAUUGUAGAGCACGAAUUAGAGAGUGUGUUUCAAGUUGGGGCCAAACUGAAAAUUACAGAAAUUUCUGCAAUAAAUGCAUAAUCCACGGAUCCGAGCUCGGAUCCAUAUGGAUCCAAGGCCUCGGAUCCACUUCUGCAAUCAGGGAAAACUUCGAGCCACGGAUCCGAGCUCGGAUCCAUAUGGAUCCGAGGCCUCGGAUCCACUUCUGCAAUCAGAAAUUUUUUUUUCCUCUCUUCUUCAACUUACACACGCACUCACACCUAAAACACACACUACUCACUAAACUCACUCUUUUCACCAUCCAAUCUUCAAACCAAGUAUACCAAAACACUCCUUUUUCACUUGAGAGAUGAUUUCAUAGCUAAAAAUUCUUCAAAAACAAGUCUAAAUUCGGAUUUGAGCUUAGCGAGAACAAGGGUUUCAAAUUUUUGAACUAUCCAUUUGAGGCCGAAUUGGAGUGAAAUUUUUGGGGGUUUCUUCACCAUUUGCAUCCAUAAUCAUCAACCAACAAGUUUGAGGUAACAAAUCUUCACCAAAUGUUGUCAUUUGAAUUUUGCCAAUUUUUAUUUUUUUUUAUUUUUUGGGGCAAUUUCGAAUUUUUUUCAUUUUGUGAAGUUUGGUGCUUUACAUUGUGCUUAUUGAACUUAUUGAUGAUUAUUGGUGAUGUUUAACUCAUGAGUUUGUAAUUAUUUGGUGAAUUUUUGCUAAAUUUAUGCCUAAUUUGGCUUGGUGACAAAGUUGCAUAUUAAGUGGCCAAUGUAGCAUUUUAAUUAGCUUUGUGGGAGUUUAUGAUAUUCAUGUGAGUAAUUUAGAUUACCUAAUGAAUGAAAAGGGGCUUGGUUGAAUAAUUUCUUGAAUUCUUAGGUAAUUCUAAAAGAAAAGGUGAAUUGAAGAUGACCUUAAUUGAUGAAAUUCAUAAAUGCGCUUAUAAUCCUUGUGGUUCAAUGGUUUCUAGUAUUUCAUGAAUUCUCAAGAAGGUCAUUUAUAUUUUGGCUUGGUGUGUUCGCCUCCAUUUUGAGAUUGCUUUUGUACUUGCGGGGAUUUGAUCAUUGAUGACAAAAUGUAUAAAUGGAACUUAUUUUGUUCAUAAUUGUGGAUUUUUUGUGUGAAAUUAGCUUCCCUUUGCUUUGGAUACUAAUGCAUAUAUUUGAUUAGCAAAGAUUAGCUCAUUUCAUGUUUUUAUCCCUUGAACAUUGUAUGGUUCCACAUGCUUGAUCAUUUUUCCUUUUUCCUUGAAUUGCAUGAUUUUGUUGAUUGCAACCUUUUAUUUUUAAGAAAUUUAUUUGUUUUGAUUUUGUCUUUUUCAAGGUGCAAUAAGUGAACUCUCCAUUCUUUCUCAAAUACGGUUGGAAAUUCGUCACUUGGCUAUGGAUUCUGAUUGCGCAAGUUCAAUUGAGCAGUAUUUUCUUUUACUCUUUAUUUAUGUUCCUUUUCUCACAUUGAGGACAAUGUGAAGUUUAAGUGUGGGGGAGGAAAAUAUUUGAACUUGCAUUUUAAGCCUAUGUGAUGAUAUUUUGUGGAUUUAAAUGCUUAGAAAUGUUGGAAUUGUGUUUGAAAUGUUUGCCAUGUGGAUAAUUUGCUUGAAAUUGGGUUUGUUGGCAGGGAGUUUUCAUCCAUUUAUAAGGAGAAACUCUGUAAAAAAUUUUCUAAAAUCUUUUCCAAUAUUUCACUAUGGCCCAAAAGUUCUUCAAAUUUUUGCAUUUUCAUUCAAAAAGGGCUAAUUGUUCCAACCUUAUUCUUCCAAUUGUUGAAAUGUUAUAUGUAUUUUGGAAGGUUUAGUCCUAAUUUAACUUGGAAAUAGUAUUAUGCAAUUAGAAUUUUUACAUUUUAGAAAGUAUAUUUGGUAAAGUAAGGAAAAUUAUGCCUAUAAUUUUACAUGUUUAAUGAGAUUUCUUUUCUUUACUUAAUUUUGCAAGUAAGUGAUUGAUAUAGUCGAUAAAGGUUAUACUCCUCCUUUGAUUAUUUCUAUAAAUAUUUUUUUUUUCUAUGAGAAAAAAAAAAGAAAAAAAAAAGAGAAAAAGAAAAAAAGAGAAAGUAAAUAAAAAUUGUUCUACUCCAAUGAUUCAUGUACCGAGUAACCGGGAGUUGGCAUCAACAAAUGUCUACAUUCGCGUAAAAAGGUACUUGAAUUAAGAGUAUGCAUAGCAACUUGAAUAAGUGAAAGGUUGAGUAACCGGGGAUCUUCACCUAAAAGUGUCGAUUUUCACGUAAAAAGGCAUUCUCACUAUUUAAGUAAAAUUUGUGUGAAUAAAUCGCUCUUAGUUAUAGAAUGUUGAGAAAAAGAUGAUUAUAGGAGGAGGAAAGCUAUAAAUUGACUAUGUGAUUUGCUUAUUUGUAAAAUUAAGUUAGGGUAAGAGAUUAAGUUUAACUUGUUGAAUUUAGGGUAUAAUUAUCUUUCCUUUACUUGAUAUUAUGAGUAUUUAGUGUAAAUUGACUAAUUGUAUAAUGAUUAUUUUCCAAGUCUUGAGGAAUUAAAUUGGACAAAGUAUAUAUAUUAUUUCACCUCUUGAAUCAUUGCAUUUGAUUAUGUGUGAAUUGCUUGAGGACAAUCAAUGAUUUAAGUGUGGGGGAAUUUGAUAAGUGACUAAUUUACGUAAUAAUUGUAUGACAUUAUAUAUUAUUUUUAGUCACUUUGGUUAUAUUAUUGGAAGAAUAUGAAUCAUUUUGGCUAUAAUUGGUGAAAAAUGCUUUUAAGUGAUUAAAUGAGGUUUUUAUCACUUUUUACUUGGAUUUUGUGUAUUUUGACAGUUUUGACACAUUUUCGUAUUUCGGCUAUAACUUGAGCUACAAUGAUCGGAUUGGGAUGAUUCUUGAACCCAUUUGAAGAUAAGAGAUAGAUCUACAACUUUGCUGAAGACAUCCGAAUCCAGUUUGAAGGUUUUCAAAAUCAAAAAGCCGAAUUACAUUAGCUAAUUUCUGUUGGUCGAAGCUGAAACAGGGCAAUGAGCAGACAAGGGUAUUUCAGUCAUAUCUCAGCCUACACAGAUCCAAAUGAGGUGAUUCUUGAUGCAUUGGAAAGAUAACUCAAAAGGCUACAACUUUCGUGUUUUACACAUGAGCUGGUUCAGCCUCUAACAUCAAGAAAAGAUCGGUUGAAGUUGGGCCAAAAAUAGAGCAAGUGAUCCACACUCGGAUCCACUAUUCAUCCGAACCCUCGGCUGUUUCUGGGUUAGUGGAUCCGAGCUCGGAUCCAUACGGAUCCGAGGCACUGUAGCAGCUCGGAUCACUGGUCAGAAAAGGCUGCUUUAUACGCGUAAAACUCAAUUUCACCUCCACCAACUCACAUGUGAUGCUAGACAUGUGAGAGACAUUACCAGCUGUAAAAGGGAGUUGAAAACAUCAUUUCUUGACCAACCUUUCAUCAUUAAAUAGCCAAAUUCAUUGCAAGAGAGAGGAUCCAAGAAGUAGAGAGCAAGAGAAGAGGAGAUAGCAGAAAAAUAGAGAGGGAGCUACGGGAGAAGCUUGGAGUCUGCAGAAAUGUAGCUCUUUCAUCUCCCUAGUGUUAGUUUAGCUUAGUAUAGAGUAGUGUAGCUUUUCCAUUCUUGUUUAUUAUCUAGAUUAGGAUGAAGAUGGAGGAUGAAGAAGGCAAGGAAGAAAGCUCAUGUGACAAGGAUUAGGAUGAAGAUGGAGGAUGAAGAAGGCAAGGAAGAAAGCUCAUGUGACAAGGGUUGUAUUCCUUCCAAACUCUUUAUCUUUUGUAUUUGAUUCCAAGUUUAGUUAAUAUACAAGUUCUGGAUUUUGUGUUUAA